AUCAGAUGGGAUCAAAUCCAGCAUAGGUGGGCCCAAUUUUAGUAGUCUUGACUCUUGAUCUUUGACAUCCAUCCUGUUUCAGAUAUUCUCUUCCCUGACGAUGAAGACUGAGCUCCACUAUUCACCUUCUUUGGUCUCUCACAACCUUGAGGAAGCCAACUUGUGGCUCAAAUAUCAUCUCCGCUGAUCUGCUGUACUUUCCUAAUCGAGUAAAUUUGCUUUCUCAUGAGCUUGAUUUACUGGCCCUCGCAAUAAUAUACUGCUGGUAGUAUUAUGUAUAUCAAAUAUUUUACUGAUGUUUCUGAACUAGUGAAGAUUAGCCGUUCCAAGUUCUGAGUUUAUCCACUCAAAUUGUUUUGGAUUUAAACCAUGGUAACUCUGGAUAAGAGAUGGUUUGUACUUUUAUGAAUGUCAAAUAGUCCUUGAAGGCAUUAUAUCCACAAAGCCAGAGAUACAUAAAGGGGACUAGGAUGUUCAGUUUGGCAUCAGGUAUUCAACUUACGUUGACUAAUCUUGGAGUGACCAGCCCAACUCCACGGAAGUUUCCCACCGGACACCAGGCCACAAGGGUAAAUUAGGAAGCGCUCGCAGCGGGCGACCCAUCAACCCAGCAUUCUUAGGUUAACCACCAAGGAAAAAUUCAUCGUAGAUGCUUGAGAAGGUGUCCUGCCGUUGCACCAUUGCCUUGAGGCACUUUCAUUGUCUUUAAACUUUACAAACGGGUGUUUUUUUGAUUAAUUUAACUUCAAUUAUUAA
This is a long non-coding RNA of Zingiber officinale, 756 nucleotides long. RefSeq lists it as uncharacterized. The record is from RefSeq and is a predicted model, not a curated record. The transcript has 2 exons. NCBI's taxonomy places the organism in Eukaryota, Viridiplantae, Streptophyta, Magnoliopsida, Zingiberales, Zingiberaceae.